Molecule: ribosomal RNA, 253 nt
Filed under: uncultured bacterium
Lineage: Bacteria
Description: partial 16S ribosomal RNA
Rfam family: Bacterial small subunit ribosomal RNA
Source: RNAcentral
UACGUAGGGUGCAAGCGUUGUCCGGAAUUAUUGGGCGUAAAGAGCUCGUAGGCGGUCUGUCGCGUCGGAUGUGAAAACCCAGGGCUCAACCCUGGGCCUGCAUUCGAUACGGGCAGACUAGAGUUCGGUAGGGGAGACUGGAAUUCAUGGUGUAGCAGUGAAAUGCGUAGAGAUCAUGAGGAAGACCAGUGGCGAAGGCGGGUCUCUGGACAGUUCCUGACACUGAGACACGAAGGCCAGGGGAGCAAACGGG